GAUGAACGCUGGCGGCGUGCCUAAUACAUGCAAGUCGAGCGAACAGACGAGGAGCUUGCUCCUCUGACGUUAGCGGCGGACGGGUGAGUAACACGUGGAUAACCUACCUAUAAGACUGGGAUAACUUCGGGAAACCGGAGCUAAUACCGGAUAAUAUAUUGAACCGUAUGGUUCAAUAGUGAAAGACGGUUUUGCUGUCACUUAUAGAUGGAUCCGCGCCGCAUUAGCUAGUUGGUAAGGUAACGGCUUACCAAGGCAACGAUGCGUAGCCGACCUGAGAGGGUGAUCGGCCACACUGGAACUGAGACACGGUCCAGACUCCUACUGGAGGCAGCAGUAGGGAAUCAUCCGCAAUGGGCGAAAGCUUGACGGAGCAACGCCGCGUGAGUGAUGAAGGUCUUCGGAUCGUAAAACUCUGUUAUUAGGGAAGAACAAAUGUGUAAGUAACUAUGCACGUCUUGACGGUACCUAAUCAGAAAGCCACGGCUAACUACGUG
This 497-nucleotide ribosomal RNA is filed under the name uncultured bacterium. RNAcentral describes it as "partial 16S ribosomal RNA". It matches the Rfam family "Bacterial small subunit ribosomal RNA", at positions 28 to 507 of the family's 1533-position model. The record is from RNAcentral.